UACAGAGGGUGCAAGCGUUGUUCGGAAUUAUUGGGCGUAAAGGGCGUGUAGGCGGUCUGCUAAGUCAUGUGUGAAAUCCCUCGGCUUAACCGAGGAACGACGCAUGAAACUGGCAAGCUAGAGUACCAAAGAGGGGGGUGGAAUUCCCGGUGUAGCGGUGAAAUGCGUAGAUAUCUGGAGGAACACCGGUGGCGAAGGCGGCAUCCUGGACCGGUAUUGACGCUGAGGCGCGAAAGCCAGGGGAGCAAACGGG
RNAcentral lists this ribosomal RNA (253 nucleotides) under uncultured bacterium. RNAcentral's name for it is "partial 16S ribosomal RNA". It matches the Rfam family "Bacterial small subunit ribosomal RNA", at positions 524 to 776 of the family's 1533-position model. The record is from RNAcentral.